GGCCCGAGGCCGGGCAGGCGGCGGGGCGCGGGGCCCGCUCGGCUGCCGGGUCCUUCCCGGCUCCGCGGGCGACCGCGGUGCUCGUGGACCCGCUCCGAAGCCGCCGCAGAAUUUGUGCUGCGACUUUCUGCGUCAGAAUACGGUGUUUUUCUGAGGCAAAACGCGGUAACGGCCCGCCUCGAAACGCCGCUUCCGAAACGGCGUCGUUUCUAGCGGGCGUUUACAUCAGCCCAGCCCAACCGUUACCGCCUGAUUGCUCGCGGGGUUUCCGAACAGGAACAGGCCUUUGGAGGGACUUGAAGGAAGACUGUCGUGUUUCCCGCAGCUAUAUGUCAUGCUCGCAGCUAUUCACCGUGUCUUUCUGCUUUCUCAUAUUUUGCAGAUUUAAGAAGUAUUUAUUUUGGGUCAGUACGAUGUACAGCACAAUGGAAUCCUAAUGCCACCCUAAACGUGAAUAAUAUAAAUAAAUAGCAAGUUAUUUAAAAUAUUUUGCUUGCUUUUCAAUGGAAAAUUAGGAAAUGAUGAACAAAUUUUCUCUUGGCAAAAUUCAGUUGUCUGUCCCAGCCAGAACUUUAUAAUAACUGGGAAUAUCUUUCUGGGUUUUAUUUCUUCCUUAUACUAAGUGCAGGUGGUGCACAUCGUAUCACGAAGCUGUGCGUAACAACACACCAGGACGAGAAGUAUAAAACUGGAAUAGGACACACACUGCACCUACGCAGCAUUUCCAGUGGGGAUUUUCCCCGGCUAUGCCUGAAGAGAGGGAUAUGCAGCAGCUUGGGCUAAGCAGAAAGGAGAAGGUCGCAAGGUCUCGGCAUCCUGUGACUGGCGAGUGGUUACUUCUGCAGCUAGACGAGAUGGAAGCAUUUCACAACCAUUAUCUUUAAAUAUUCACAAAUUCAACAUAGAGGAUUAGCAGCAGAAGGAAGUGUUUGCUCAGUACUCCGAAGCAAAAAAGAUUCUCUGAAGAAAAAAUGAAACUUUCAGCACUUGAAUACACAAGACUGUGUAAACAUUCACCAUUGACAGAUGAAGAUUCAAGGAAAUGCAUCCCCUUCAAAUUGGAAAGAACUGUAGAAAGAUAUCUGUGCUUGAGUCCUGCCAUGCAUGAACUCAACCCAGCCUUUAGAGUGCUUCAGAUCAAUCUAAGUGAAAUGCAAAUAUUGCUGGCCAUCAGUCUUCACUGUCAUUUUGAUACACAUAGAAGGAACCACAUGAAACAAAGGUGAUGUGCAUAUGAGCUGUGAAAACCUUCUUGACAAACUGCAUUUAUCCUCCUGAGCUGCCUGAAUUUUUAUCAUCUUACCUUUGUGUCUUGGCUUCAGCUUUGGAAGUUUGGAGAAACUGGGAGGUGCCAUGAUUUUCCCAUGUUUCACGUACAAAAAAGCUCUAUCACAAAUAACUUUCUUAUUGUCAACAGAAUACAAGUGUUGCUUGUAUUGCAAGUGGAACUUGCUCCCCAAUUAAAUUACUUGUUUCUUCAACUUAAACUGGCCUUUACAUGACAUAACAAAAAAACGCAUUAGUUAAGAAGUACAGAAAGUGCAUUGCACAUUGAGAACCUGUAAGAGUGAAGGACAGAGAUUCAGAAUCACACCUAUCAGUCCGGCAUCUCCAGAAAGAUUUCUUUUAAGAAAAAGAAAAUUGAGGGAGUGUUACUGGACUUCUGAAUCUGAUAUCCUUAGUCACCUGCCAAAAUAGUGUCUAAUAGCAGUAUUUAAUUUGGAAAAUAUUGCAGAGAGUAACCAAACAACAAUCUUGAAGAGCAAGUCUUCAUUAUUAUGAAGGUUUUCUACAUAAGGCCACGGUUCCCAAGCUUUUCAUAGCCAAGCUUCCCUUGGGAAAACUGACCACAUUCCAUCUCUGUGCAAUGCUCCGGGCUAGCACAGGUCCGACAUGACUUGUUAGCCUAGGUUUGCUUUUUUGGGUGAAGGAUAUUGAUCAAUAGCAAAAAUGGAAUAGGAAAAGGUAUUGAAACUAUGCUAUCAUGACUACAUUGACUUUUAUUUGUACUUGGUCAAGGUAAAUCUGACACAAAAUGAUUACUGACAAAUGAGAAACCUACAGAUAAAAUAUGGGGAAUUGGAGAAAAAAGGAGAGACAAAAAUAGUAACAAUAUUCUAGAAUAAAGCUUUAUAUUAAUAUAAAUUUUCA
Molecule: long non-coding RNA, 2151 nt
Organism: Apteryx owenii (little spotted kiwi)
Lineage: Eukaryota; Metazoa; Chordata; Aves; Apterygiformes; Apterygidae
Source: Ensembl